Long non-coding RNA from Homo sapiens (human), 1051 nucleotides. Ensembl annotates it as RFPL1 antisense RNA 1. Its record names the gene RFPL1S. The record is from Ensembl. NCBI's taxonomy places the organism in Eukaryota, Metazoa, Chordata, Mammalia, Primates, Hominidae.
GGGAGGAGGGAAGAGGGGGAGGGAGUUUCUGGUUUUGCAUGAAGCAGCAGAACAUGAUGAAGCAUUUUUCCCCCAUCUAAAGAUCCAGUCGUGCUCCAGUUUGCAGAGGGCAAGGGGCUGGUUGCAGGUGGUGCUGGGAGGAUGGAGAGAUGGGGUUUCACCGUGUUAACCAGGAAUGUCUCGAUCUCCUGACCUCGUGAUCCACCCGCCUCAGCCUCCCAAAGUGUUGGGAUUACAGGCGUGAGCUACCACGCCCGGCCCUAGGCUCCACAACUCUAAGAAGCUUUGCCUCACAACAUUGUCAUCAAACCCACUUUCGGCGGUGCAGUGGCUCACACCUCUAAUCCCAGCACUUUGGGCGGCCAAGCGAGAGGAUCGCUUGAGCCCAAGAGCUCGAGACCAGCCCAGGCAACACAGAAAAACCUCAUUUCUACAAAAAAUAAAAUAAAAUAAAAAUAGCUGGGUGUGGUGGCGCGCCUGUGGUCCCAGCUCCUCGGGAGGCUGAGGUGGGAGGAUCGCUUAAACCUGGAGAGGCGGAGGUUGCAGUGAGCCGAGAUCACGCCACGGCACUCCAGCCUCGGCAACAGAGCGAGACCCUGUCACAAACGAACACUCUCCAGAGGGGGAAACCGAGGCCCUGGGACUGCAGAACCGGUUUCUCUGCCUCGGCAUACUGCCUCGGCUGGCUCUGCGCUUGAUAGAAUCGCGCCAGCAACAGCGCCCCCUGCAGGCGACGGCGGGCACGCCUGCGUCACAGCCAUCCCCGCCCUUCCGCAGUGGGAACGCCCGAAUGCUUCAUCCGGCCUCGGAAGAUUGAAGAGCGCUCCUCCAAACUGGCUCAGGGAAGCCGGGCGCGCCGCCUUCAGCCCCGCCUUGGCCGCCGCGGCGUCGCAUCAGUGGCAUCCCCAGGGGCUGCAGGAAGGUAGCCGUAGCCUUGGCUGUCGUGGCUUCCCUCAUCGUAACGGCCUGGGGGCAGCGGUGCUCAAAGAACUCAGGGGGUGGGGCUCAGGUAGGGGCAUGGCCGGUGCUCUUCCUAGGGGCGGGAUCCUGG